Molecule: ribosomal RNA, 464 nt
Filed under: Vreelandella stevensii
Lineage: Bacteria; Pseudomonadati; Pseudomonadota; Gammaproteobacteria; Oceanospirillales; Halomonadaceae
Description: partial 16S ribosomal RNA
Rfam family: Bacterial small subunit ribosomal RNA
Source: RNAcentral
CCUACGGGGGGCAGCAGUGGGGAAUAUUGGACAAUGGGGGGAACCCUGAUCCAGCCAUGCCGCGUGUGUGAAGAAGGCCCUCGGGUUGUAAAGCACUUUCAGUGAGGAAGAACGCCUGGUGGUUAAUACCCAUCAGGAAAGACAUCACUCACAGAAGAAGCACCGGCUAACUCCGUGCCAGCAGCCGCGGUAAUACGGAGGGUGCGAGCGUUAAUCGGAAUUACUGGGCGUAAAGCGCGCGUAGGUGGCUUGAUAAGCCGUUGUGAAAGCCCCGGGCUCAACCUGGGAACGGCAUCCGGAACUGUCAAGCUAGAGUGCAGGAGAGGAAGGUAGAAUUCCCGGUGUAGCGGUGAAAUGCGUAGAGAUCGGGAGGAAUACCAGUGGCGAAGGCGGCCUUCUGGACUGACACUGACACUGAGGUGCGAAAGCGUGGGUAGCAAACAGGAUUAGAUACCCUUGUAGUC